RNAcentral lists this non-coding RNA (74 nucleotides) under uncultured Prevotella sp. Its description in RNAcentral is "L13-Bacteroidia ribosomal protein leader". It matches the Rfam family "L13-Bacteroidia ribosomal protein leader". Lineage: Bacteria; Pseudomonadati; Bacteroidota; Bacteroidia; Bacteroidales; Prevotellaceae. The record is from RNAcentral.
GGGAACUCUUAGAUCCCCUAUGGAUUGUGGUGUUAAUAGUUGUGUCUUUGGCCGGGCAUGACGGUUAGUGAAUC